UGGCGGACCUCGCCACGACAGGGACGGGCGUGGUUUUGGCGGACCUCGCCACGACAGGGACGGGCGUCUCGGGCGCGAUUUUAGGUGGACCUCCGCCGCCGCACUUCGCCGCCCCACGCGCCGCCGCCUCCAGCCUCGCCACCCCACCACAUGGUGUGUUGCGCCCGCCGCCAGAUCCGGCCCGACUCGUCAUGGAUCCGGCCGCCCCACGAGCCCCUCGGCCUCGCCUCCACCUCUGUCCACCGCCGCGACGCUCGCCGGCGCCGGAGCCGCCGUAGAUGGACCGGCCUCCUCCUCAGCCAAAUCGGGACCGGACCAUCCCGAUCCACCCCAUCCCUGGACCGGUGAAGAACAGAGGCUUUUAUGAAAAAACGAAACGUUUUUUUCACUUAAUGAAGGACCGCGGGUUGAUUUUGAAACAACAGGGGGACGUUUUUGCAAAACUGCCACCACGGACGACAGAAACAAUAUUUGCUUUAUUAUUAGGGAGAGAAAAGCUAAUCGGGCGAUCGAGUUGCAAACACAAGAAAGAAAGAAGCCCACCACAGCGAAUUCCCUCGUUCCCUCCUCGCCUCCUUCCCUAAACCCUCCCUUGCCGGCUACCAAGGCAGCGGCUCUGUACACCAGGCCGCCAAUGGAAGACGCAACGAAGCGGAGGCACCAGCCGGGCGCUCUCCCGGCGCGCCGCAAGGUCGUGGAGGAGCCCUUCGACCCGGCGCCACCUCCCCCCGCUNNNN
This 737-nucleotide long non-coding RNA is filed under the name Hordeum vulgare. RNAcentral's name for it is "long non-coding RNA (HVUL_LNC019821)". Lineage: Eukaryota; Viridiplantae; Streptophyta; Magnoliopsida; Poales; Poaceae. The record is from RNAcentral.